RNAcentral lists this ribosomal RNA (251 nucleotides) under uncultured fungus. Its description in RNAcentral is "partial small subunit ribosomal RNA". It matches the Rfam family "Eukaryotic small subunit ribosomal RNA", at positions 1319 to 1591 of the family's 1831-position model. Lineage: Eukaryota; Fungi. The record is from RNAcentral.
UUAAUUGCGAUAACGAACGAGACCUUAACCUGCUAAAUAGCCAGGCUAGCUUUGGCUGGUCGCCGGGCUUCUUAGAGGGACUAUCGGCUCAAGCCGACGGAAGUUUGAGGCAAUAACAGGUCUGUGAUGCCCUUAGAUGUUCUGGGCCGCACGCGCGCUACACUGACAGAGCCAACGAGUUUUCUUCCUUGUCCGAAAGGUCUGGGUAAUCUUGUUAAACUCUGUCGUGCUGGGGAUAGAGCAUUGCAAUC